Molecule: RNA transcript, 11015 nt
Organism: Acinonyx jubatus (cheetah)
Lineage: Eukaryota; Metazoa; Chordata; Mammalia; Carnivora; Felidae
Gene: TNFSF4
Gene name: TNF superfamily member 4
Exons: 4
Source: RefSeq, a predicted model, not a curated record
CUCACGAACCGUGAGAUCAUGACCUGAGCUGAAGUCGGGUGCCCAACCGACCGCGCCACCCAGGUGCCCCUCAUUGAUCUAUAUUUCUAUCUUUUUGCUAAUAUCACUGUGUCUAGACUGCUGUUUAGCCUUGAAAUUAGGUAGUAUGAGGCCUCCAACUUUGUUCUUUUUCUAUUUUUUGUUUGUUUGUUGUUGGCUAUUAUGGUUCCUUUGGCUCUCCAUAUAAAAUUUUGAAUCAGCUGUCUGUGUCAACAAAAAAAUCCUGCAGAAUUGUGAUUGGGAUUGCACUGACUCUGUACAUUGGUUUGGAGAAAACUGUCAUCCUGACAGUCUUGAAUCUUCCAAUCCUUGACUAUUGUAUGUCUCAGCAUUUAUUUAGAUUUUCUUUGGUUUCUUCCAUCAAUCUUAUGUGGAUUUUAGCAGACAGAUUCUGCACGUGUUUUAUUAGGUUUAUACCUGAGUACUUUGCUUAUUUUGUAUACUAGUGUAGAUAGUAUUUUUUAAAUUUGAAAUUCCAGUUGUUCAUUGCUGGUAUAUAGGAAUAAGAUGACUUUUGUACGUUGACCCGUAUCCUGUCACCUUGCUAACUCACUAGUUUCAGGCACAUUAGGUCUUUGGAAUUUUUGAUGUACACAAUCAUGUUAUCUACAAAUAAGGUUUUUUUUUUUCUAUUCCAAUUUAUAUGUUCUUUACUUCUUUUUAUUGCAUUAUUAUACCAGUUAGGACAUUCAGUACGGUGUUGAGUAGGAGGGGUCAGAGGGCAUCCUUUCCUCAUUCCCAAUCUUAGGAGGAAACCAUCGAGUCAUCAUUAAGUAAGAAGUUAGUUUCAGGUUUUCCAUAGAUGCCUUUUAUUAGGUUAGGGAAGUUCCCUUCUGAGUUAGCUGACAGUUGCUAUCAUGAAUGGAUAUUGAAUUUAUUCUAAUGCUUUUCCUGCAUCCAGUAAGAUACUCAUGUGGUUAUUCUUCUUCAGAUUUUGACAAGGUGAGUUGCACCAAUUGCUUUUCAAAUGUUGAAGAAGCCUUGCAUUCCUGGGAUAAAUCCCACUUGGUUGUGUCAUAUUAUCUUUUUCAUAUAUUGAUGGAUUCAACUUGUUAAUAAUUUGUAAGAUAUUUUUGUGUUUUUUUAAAGAUUUUUAAAGUUUAUUUAUUUAUUUUGAAGGAGAGAGAGCAUGCAUGAGCAGGGGAGGGGCAGAGAGAGGGAAUCCCAGUGCAGAGCCUGAUGUAGGGCUCAAUCCCAUGAACAGUGAGAUCGUGAUCUGGGUCGAAGUUAAGAGUUGGAUGCUAAGCCGACUGAGCCCCCAGGUGCCCUUUUUGUAAGAUUUUUGUAUCUUUGUUCAUGAGGGAUAUUCAUUUGAAAUUUUCUUGAUUGUAAUGUCUUUAUAUGAUAAUUUUAUUGGGUAAUAAAAUACUAACCUUACAAAAUCAAUUGAGAAACGUUCCUUUAUCUUCUUUUUCAGGAUGAGAGUGUAUAGAAUUAUUAUUUCUUCCAUCAGUGUUUGGUUGACUUUACCCCCUGGGCCUGGAGUGUCUUUUUAGAAGGUUUAAAAUGACAAAUUCAGUUUCUUCAAUAAAUAUUAUAUAUAUACAUAUAUAUAUGUAUAUAUAUAUAAAAGAAAUAAAUAGAUUUCUUUAAUAGAAAUGCAUCUAUUCCUUCCUGAAUGAGUUUGAUAGUUUGCUUACUAAAGAAUCUCAUCUAGGGGCACCUGCGUGGCUCAGUCGGUUAAGCUCCAACUUCAGCUCAGGUCAUGAUCUCACAGCUUGUGAGUUCGAGCCCCACAUUGGGCUCUGUGCUGACAGCUCAGAGCCUGGAGCCUGCUUCAGAUUCCGUAUCUCCCUCUCUCUGCUCCUCCCCACUCACGCUCUGUCUCUGUCUCUCUCUCAAAAAUAAACAUUAAAAAAAUUUUUUUAAAUAAAGAAUUUCAUCUAUAUUAUCAAAUUUAUAAACAUAGAGUUUUUCAUAGAAUUUCCCUUAUGAUCUUUUUAGUGUCUGUGGGGUCAGUAGUAAUUUACCUUCUUUUAUUCCUGAUGUUGGUAACUCAUGUCCUCUCUAUUAUUCUUGGUCAGUUUAGUGAGAGGUUUAUCAAUUAUACUGAACUUUUCAAAGAACCAGCUUUUGGUUUUAUUAAUUUUCUCUAUUCUGUUUCUAUUUUCAAUUUUAAUUGAUUUCAGCUUUUACCUUCAUAAUUUCCUUCCUUUUUCUUGCUUUGGGUUUAUUUUGCUCUUUUUUCCCUAGAUUUUUGAAGUGUAAGAUUAGAUCAUGGAAUUGAGACAGUCUUCUUUUCCUACAUAAGCAUUUAAUGCUAUAAAUUUCCUUUGAAUCACUGUGUUAAGUGCUUCCCACAAAUUCUGAUGUGUUUGUUGUAUUUUCAUUUUCAUUCAGUUCCCCCCACCCCAAUUUCCCAUGUGACUUUCCCUUUGACCCAUGGAUAAUUUAGAAGUAUGUUAUUUGAUUUCCAAAUAUUUGGGAGAUUUACUAGAUAUCUUUCUUUUAUUACUGUCUAAUUCAAUCCCAUUAUGAUCCAGGAAGAUAUUUUGUAUGAUUUCCGUUAUUCUAAAUUUGUUAAGGUUGUUUUAUGGCCCAGAAUAUGGUCUUUCAUGGUGAAUGUUCCGUGUAUACUUACAAAAAAAUGUGUUUUCUGUUAUUGUUGGGUACAGUGUUACAGAAAUGUCAAUUACAUCAACUGGUUUAUAAUAUUGUUCAUGUUUUCUAUAUUGGCACUGACUGUCUGUCUACUUCUAUCAAUUACUGUGAAAGAGAUGUUGAAGGCUUUAAAUAUAAUUGUGGAUUUAUCUACUUCCCAUUCCAUUUCUGUCUGUUUUCAGUUUUUGGAAGUUCUCUUAUUAGCUAAAUACACAUUUAAGAUUGUUGUUAUUAUUUUAUUUUAUUUUAUUUUACUUUAUUUUAUAUUUUAGUGUUUAUUUAUUUUUGAGAGACAGAGAGAGACAGCAUGAGCUGGAGAGGGCAGAGAGAGAGAGAGGGAGACCCAGAAUAUGAAGCAGGUUCCAGGCUCUGAGCUGUCAGCCCAGAGCCUGACACGGGGUUCGAACUCACAGACCGCGAGAUCAUGACUGGAGCCGAAGUCAGACGCUCAACCGACUGAGCCACCCAGGCGCCCCAAGAUUGUUGUUAUUAUUUGUGUGUGUGUGUGUGUGUGUGUGUGUGUGUGAGAGAGAGAGAGAGAGAGAGAGAGAGAAUUGACCCUUUUCUCAUUAUGAAAUAUAUUUUUUUAUCCGUGAUAAUAUUCCUUGUUUUGAGAUCUACUUUGAUACUAAUAUAGCCACUCCAUUUGUCUUUUUUUUUUUUAAGUUGAUUUAUUUAUUUUGAGAGAGAGAGAGAAGGGGAGGGGCAGAGAGAGAAGGAGAGAGAGAGAAUCCCAAGCAGGCUCUACACCAGCAGCGCUGAGCCCGAUGAGGGGCCUGAACUCACAAACUGGGAGAUCAUGACCUGAGCUGAAACCAAGGGUUGGACGCUUAACCGACUGAGCCACCCAGUUUACCAGGCUGCUGCACAAAAUUCACUCUCCAGCCCUACUUUGGAGCAAUGAGGAACCCCAGCGUCUUGAUCUGUCGUUUUGGAGCUGCUUCAUGUGGAAGAUGGAUAGGACCAGUUUCGGCAAACCUAGUAUCUGUCCAUUGACAAGAGAUGAUGGAGUUCAAGCAGGUUUGAUGGGGCUUGUCCAAAGAAAUACAGUCCCAGAGCAGUCUUUUUAGGACCUAGUAUGAAGAACAUACAAUGCGAACAAAGAACAUGAGAAAAGACGCUUUCACAGGAAGCUUCCCAGGUUUAUUGUUUAUUUAACUGCUUUGAACGAAAUGCUUGGGUCUUACCUGAAUGAGAAUGUGGACGAGACGCAGUCAUCAUGAAGAUGAACACUGUGUUCCGGCUGAAGCUUCUGCUGUUGGACAACACUGUCUCCUGUGGCGUGGAAGACUAGCAUCAUCUUAAAGCAAGAGGGAAUCGACAACGAACAGUACUGGGUCCUACCCAGGAGGAGGUGGGUGGUGGACCCUGGUGCAUCAGCCAGUCUGGUGAUUUACUUCCCUCAGGAUGCUGUGAAAUUGAAUGAGAGCGAGAUCAUCGUCCUGCUGGUCUCAAAACUUCUGACAUGUUUGGUUUAGUAUUGUCUCUUCUGUCGGGGAACCUUAUUUUUUAAAUUAAAUUAAAUUAAAUUAAAUUAAAUUAAAUUAAAUUAAAUUUUAUUAUUUAAUUUUAUUUUAUUUUUGAGACAGAGAGAGGUGGGGGGAGAGCACGUGUGAGCAGGGGAAAGGGGUAGAGAGGGAGAACCCCAAGCAGGCACUACGCUUAGUGUGGAGCCAAACACAGGGCUCCAUCCCAUGACCCUGGGAUCUUGAGCUGAGCCAAAAUCAAGAGUCGGAUGCUCAACUGAAUGAGCCACCCAGGCACCCCCUGUCAGGAAACCUUAUUAAUGGAGUAUGUGCCUGAACAACCCUGCGGGCAGAUGCCAUCUCACUGCCCAUCAUGACCCAAAUGUUUAAUUAAUUUUUAUGGAGGAAGGAAAGUGUCUAUUCCCCUUGAAAGCUGCAGUGCAGUCCUGCGGCCUUGAUUAGUUUUGUAAGUCCAGUUCCUUGUAGAGUUUCUGGAACAUAGCAUAUACUCGAUAAAUGUGAAAUAAAUGAAUGAAUAAAUGGCCAAGUGUUAGGGCUUAUGUUUCUUGUUUUUCCCAUGGCAGAAAAGAAUAGAGCAGAAAAAAAAAUCAUCAUAUUUGUUGAUGGCCUGUUUACUAGAAUGAGUGUUUUCUUUGCCCCCAGUAGUUCAAAGCUAUCUAUAUAUUCAUCCAUUAAUUCAAAUACUUAUUGGCUCCCUACAAUAGGAAGUGCUUCCUUUGUGUGUCAGUAUGGGAUUGUGGAAUGUCCAGCUUGGUCUUAGGAGAGCAGGCUGUGUCUAUAAGAACAAAGUCCUGAACUAACCUCUCCGGCACAGCACUGUUGUCCAUGGGCCCCACACGUCGGAAACACGCUGAGCUAAUCCUCCAGUUCCAGUUCUACACAUCCCCGCUCAUGCAGCCUUUUCUAUACCUUUGACACGAGCCAACUUCAUCUUUUCUCAGCAUGAGUCACUGUCAAAAACAUACACAUUGUCAUAACUGCUGUAGCUCUAGUGCUGUCCGUUGCUUUUUAAACAAUCAUAAAAUCAAAUCUAAAGCUCACGUUGAGAGCUUGUUUUAUUGAUGACGUACAAUGGGAGAUGGAUAAGAUAUUUGGGGCCAGAACGGUUGACCAUCUACCAUCUUUAUUGAGAAAUUUCUGAUUUCCAAUCUAACUAACUCAAAUGAGUCGUAAUUCAGAGACGUGAUAAAGUUAAAUUUUCCUCUGUGCUGACUAUGAAAAGCACUUGGGAAGCACAAUAAUAACAUAGACAUGAUUGUAUAAGGAAUGCUCAAUAUACUUAAAAUAACACUUUCAAGUACCCUCAAAUACUUUGGCAUAAAAUAUUCCAUUUGAACCUUUACUAUUUCUAGGUCAGCUAUUGGCAAACUGUGGCCUGGGGUUGCGUCCAGCCUUCUCCCUGUUUUUUUAUGGCCUGUAAACUAAGAUUUUUUUUUUUUUUACAUUUUUAAGUGGUUGAAAAAAAUAAAAAGAAUAUUCUGUGAUAUGUGAAAAUUGCAGUAAAUUCAAGCUUCGACGUCCGUAAGUAAAGUUUUAUUCAACUCAGCUAUAUCCAUUUGCUUAUGUAUUAUUUGUGGCUGCUUUUGAAUGAUGAAGGGCAGAGUUUAGUUGGAACAGAGACUUUUGGAUCAGAGACCAAAGCCAGAAAUAUCUGCUAUCUGAAACUGUACACAAAAGUUUGCCUUCCUGGGUUUGAGGUACUAGAGACACAUCAAUGAACAAAACAGAGAUCUCUGUGUUGGGGGAAGUCAUCAAGAGGGCGUGACUACCAGCUGAUCCGAGAGCUAGACCCAGGUGACAGGAGGCUUCUUAGCCCCCCCCCCAUAAUCGGAAUGUACAUUCUGAGCAUCAUUCCCGUAGCCAGAGCUGUUUCAAGGGCACAACCUUAAAAAAGAAAUGUGUUGUUGAGACCCAUUUGGAUUGUAUAUGGGACUGAACCCUGUUAAGUGCUCUAUAUAAACUUUUAAGAUUCUGGCAGGUAGGUAUGAUGACCUACCAAUCUGGACUGGCCUGCUUCUUUCUUUGGUCUCUCCUUGCCCUCUGUGUAGGGGGACCAGGUUUGAAUUUCAGCUGGAGAACUCCCAAAGCUGCAAACCAACACCCUGCCCUCAGAAAACUUACAUUCAAAUACGGGAAGACAGGAAACAGUAAGCAUAAGUACAUUAUAUAUAGUAUUAUUAGGAUGUGAUAAAUGUGAUGAGAAGAAAAGAUGUAGAGGAGGGUAAAGGGAAUAAGGAUUUUCUUUUUUUGGUGGGGGGAGGAUGUUACACUUUGGAAGACAGCAAUCAGGGUAGACCUCAUUAAAAAGGUGGUACCUGAGCAAAGAAUUGAAAAGGGUGAGGAAGUGAGCCACGUGGGUGUCUGGGGAAAAGCAUUGGAGGCAGAAGGGAUAACAGCAGCUCCUCAUACGGUUGUUGUGUAGAUUGAGUUCAUGUAUUUAACUAAAAAUAGUGCCUGGCAAAUGGUAAAUUCUCAAAAAAAAAAGGGGUUCUUUUUUAGAACGAGCUAGCUGUAGACGCUCCUUUCCUCUCUGCAGUGGGCGGAUGUACUGAGUGCCUCUUGGUAGGCGCUCACUAUAGCAGAGAAAGGCUCUCCUAAGUACGCGGGGUCUUGAUAUCUUAGCUUUAUCUAUCCCAGGAUUAGCUUUCAUCCCUGGGGCUUAGCUCUCAGGGGCAGAGCCAUCCUGGAGAAUCAUGAGCUCGGGAGGUAUCAUACCUGUGGUCUGUGUAUUUAUCAGAUACGGAUCCCGGAGUCUGUCGGCACACACAGGCGCAGGGACUUGCCCUACCGUCACACAAUUAGUCAGCAGCAAAGCUUCGAUAGGCAUGGGGUGUUUUGCUUCCAGGUCUAGUGUUCUGUUCCUGCUCUGCGCUCCUCGUCCUGCAAUAAACCUAUUUUUACACGGCUUAUUUCUUCCAGUAAACUUUCAGGUGUCUUUGAGCAGGGACCACGUCUUACUCAUUUUUGUUUUCCCCUUCAGAAUCAGGCACUAAACAAACAAAAAACCAAAACCGUUGCAAGAACAGUCAGUGCUUGAAUUUGUUGGGUACCGUUUCAAAUCGUAACCACUACCUGUAAGUCUGUCAGAUAAUGCCAACGUGGGACCGACCGUCCCUUGUUUCCUGCGUUUGUAUAAAGCAUGGGGACAUAAAUUGUCCUACAAAUCAGGGAGCUCCCAGAAGAGAUACCGGACAUUUACAUUUUCAAACUUUUUUAUGUUGCUAAAUAUCAUGUGAAGAUCCUGGAGCAUAAAGAUGAUUCAUGAGCUUUGGGCUUUGAUGAGCAGUAGCGUCAGGCUGCUAGAUAAGAGAUGGCAUUUCCAGGACAAAAAAUGGGGCAGACAAUGCAGGACAAACACUUUGUUGUCCCUUGUCUUAAUCCAGAGUGGGUUCUCAAAGUGUGGUUUAUGGACAGGCGGCAUUAGCAUCACAUGAUGCUCGUCAGAAAUGCAAAUUCUUGGGGUGCCUGGGUAGUUCAGUCCACUGAGCGCCUGACUCUUAUUUCGCCUCAGGUCAUGAUCCCAAGGUCAUGGUAUUGAGCCCUGUGUCGGGCCCCACGCUGAAGCUGAAAUAAAAAAAUAAAAUAAAAUAAAUGUGUUCAACAAAUUUUUUAAAAAUGGGAGAAAUAGUUAAGGAUAUGUGAACUUCCUGGGGACUGCUGUGAGGUGACACUGGAUUAUGUUUAUCACCUGAUUCCCAUAUGUCCUUGCUCAGACUGGCCUAUUUUAGAGUGGUGUUACAGGCCCUAGGAAUUAGUAUUCAACUCAAGAGUUUGUAGCCAACAUUUCCUAAAGAUUUGGUGGGUAUUUUUUAGGUAAAUGGCUGCAGGCUCAUUUGGGUAAAGUUAUGAAAUUUCAAGGUCCUGAUGUUUGAACAGUCUGGCUUCUGUAAAAUAUUUGCUUGUAAAGUCCUGCUUUUUUUUAAUUUUUGUAAUAAAAGACACUCAAAACCUCUCAAUUUUUGUGCUUGGAGGCUCCAUGCUCUACAAACCAGAGUUAGAGAUCUCCAAGUGUCAGGCCACUAAUUGCUAUAAAUAUUUCAUUGUAAUUGCUAAUCAUGCCCAUUCUUUUUUAGAGGUUUGUUUAAACCCUUGUUUAAACAUCAGUUCUGGGUAAAUAAGGCUGAGAUGAUCUAGGAGUACAUUUUUUUCUUUUUUCUUUUCUUUCCAAGGAAGAUGGAAUAUGCUAGUGGGAAAGCCUUAGAUGUGUCAAACAUUUUGAUGAGAUGUGUGUUCAUUUGAGAAAGGAACCAGAGAGAGAGAGAGCCAAUCUGAUGUGUACUGGAGGGAGAGAGAGAGAGAGAGAGGGAAAUCUGAAGCUGAGGAUGGGGAUACAUCAACAGGGAGUGCGAAAAAAGAGCCCAUGAGACCAGAUACUGCAUUGGGAGGGCCAGAGCAAGAAUCCUCUGAUGGCAAAACUGCCUGGAAGGCUGAUAAUAGAAAUAUUAAAUGUAGAUUUUUAACAUGUCUGCUGUGUUUAUGUACUCUUUAGCAGUUGAAGCAACAGGAGAACACAACCAGUUCUGUGAUUUACAGUUUCUCUUAACAGAAGAAUGUCAAAAUUAUGUUGGCAAUAAGAGCGUUGAUAAAGGAUUUUGCCUUUCCACUCUCAUAUGAAGUUGGAGAAAUGCAGCGAUUUAGGUUUGAGAAGAGAAACAAUUUGGAGGAUAAAUUUGGUUUUGUCUUUAGGUGACCUAAACUUGAACAAUAAAGAGUAACGAGGACUUCUGUUUCCAGCGAUAUGGCAAACUAAGUUAUCUGUUAUCUCUUCCAACGCAAAACACUUAAAAAUGCUAGACAAAUUACAAUGGGCAUCCUUUCCGGUGCAUAGCUGAAUUUAUAAGAAAGAAGGGGAAACUCCAGGGCCAAAACUUGAGAGUCAAAUGAAAAAUUGGAAGGGUUUGUAGGUCUCAAUAACCAAUAUACUUGGAUUUUAAUGGCAUCACAAGGACGGAAGACAGGUUUUAGGUCCAUUGGGUAAGAAAUUGAUGAGACUUGCAGUGGCAGCAACAAUGAUGAACAAGGUGGACUAGAAAACAACUACUUUCGGCUAGUCGCUGACCAAAAAAAAGCGUUUCCUGAUGAAUGGUAACUGCAGGACUAUUCUCACAUGGUUUAGGCAUCCAAAUUAAUUUUGUCCACAUGCUCUAAUAACAUUCAAUCAAAAACUUACCAUAAUGGUGCAUCCUUGGACACCUGCCAGAAGCACGUGCCACAUCUGGAAGAGCAUGCUCUCAGUCCAGGCCUUUGCAAAACAAAUGACAGGAUUAAUCCCCAGGGUCUUCAGAUUUUGGAAUUAUUCAUGUCUUUAAGUAUGUUCAAGUGAAUAAAUAACUAAACAAAUGAGGGAAUAACAAUCAUAAUAGAGAAACAAAACCUUACGAACAGAAGAUACAGUAAAACCUUGAGUUGUGAGUAACUUGUUCUGUGAGUUCUGCAAGACGAGCGAGUGAUGUCUUACAAUAAGGGUAGUACUCGGUGUGGAAUGUCACAUGAUCACAACUGAAUCAAAGGUUCUUGAAAUUCGCUUUGAUAUGUAAGUGCUUUGGACGUAAGCAUGUUUCUGGAAUGAAUUAUGCUCACAAACCAAGGUUUUACUGUAGUAUUAGAAAAAAGAACCAGAUAGAACUCCUGGAACAAUUAUAGCAAUCGACAUUAGAAACUCCGUGGAAGGGUUAGUUGCAGAUUAAAAGUAGUUUAAGUGAGAAUCAGUAAGUAAGAAAUACAGAAAUAAUCAUGAAUUCACCAAAGAUAAAGAGGGAUUCCUUCUUUGGCUAGAUUCAUACAUCUCUUUGGGUUACAUUAUAAUUAUAGUUAUGUUGGCUUAGGAGCUGUUACAAGACUCGCAAAGAGAAGAAAAUGAGUUAGCACUCUGAAGUCUUUACAACUAUCUUAUUAGCUUAAAGAGAAGGUGAUCUCAAAAAAUUAAAAAUGGAAAUUUUCUUAUGGUCAUAAACAUGAUACAAAUUUCUCUUACCCUGUCAUUGGCAGGUGAACAACCAAAGAAAAGUGGGUGUCAUUGAAUGCCUCAGUAACAGCUGGGAUAGUAAACACAGCAUGCUCCAAGGGCUCUUCUAGAGGGAAGAGUGGGAAAGUGUGAUGAAAUAAUGAUCACUUUUUCUUAUUUCAAAAUUCUCAAUGUGCAUAACAUACUACCAUUUGUAAAAAUAAAAAUAAUGUGUCUUACAUAAUAUUUAUUUUACGUAUAUGCAUGCAAUACACAGGAAACUGGUAACGAAGGCUGCCUCUGGUGAGGGGAAUUGUGUACCUAGGGGGAUAGGUAUGGGAGAGAGACUUAUUUCUCACAGUUCUCAACCUUUCUAGUCUUAGGACCCCUUUUGGUCUUUUAAAUUUUUUUUAAUGUUUAUGUAUUUACUUAAACUUUUUUUAAACGUUUAUUUAGUUUUGAGAGAGAGAGAGAGAAGUGGAGGAGGGGCAGAGAGAGAGGGAGACACAGAGUCCAAAGCAGGCUCCAGUUUCUGAGCUGUCAGACAGAACCUGACGCAGAGCUCGAAUUCAUGAACCAUGAGAUAAUGACCUGAGUUGGACGCUUAACUGAUUGAGCCACCCAGGCACCCCAGGACCCCUUUUGGUCUUAAAAAUUAUUCAAGUUCCCCAAGUGUUUUUGUUUAUAUGAGUAAUAUGUUCAUCAAUAUUUACUGUACUAGAAGUUAAAACAGAAAUCUUAAAAAGAUCUAUUUAAUAAUUCACUUAAGGGGCAUCUGGGUGGCUUGGUCGGUUGAGCGUCCGACUUUGGCUCAGGUCAUGAUCUCACGGUCUGUGAGUUCGAGCCCCGCGUCGGGCUCUGUGCUGACAGCUCAGAGCCUGGAGCCUGUUUCAGAUUCUGUGUUUCCCUCUCUCUCUGCUCCUCCCCUGUUCAUGCUCUGUCUC